Molecule: ribosomal RNA, 908 nt
Filed under: uncultured Bacteroidota bacterium
Lineage: Bacteria; Pseudomonadati; Bacteroidota
Description: bacterial SSU rRNA
Rfam family: Bacterial small subunit ribosomal RNA
Source: RNAcentral
AUUAUGGCUCAGGAUGAACGCUAGCUACAGGCCUAACACAUGCAAGUCGAGGGGAAACGGCAGCUUAGCUUGCUAAGCUGGACGUCGACCGGCGCACGGGUGAGUAACGCGUAUCCAACCUGCCCCACGGUGAGGGAUAACCCGCGGAAACGCGGCCUAAUACCUCAUGGUCUCCGAGCUUGACAUCAAUCUUGGAGUAAAGAUUCAUUGCCGUGGGAUGGGGAUGCGUCUGAUUAGCUUGUUGGCGGGGCAACGGCCCACCAGGGCAACGAUCAGUAGGGGUUCUGAGAGGAAAGCCCCCCACAUUGGAACUGAGACACGGUCCAAACUCCUACGGGAGGCAGCAGUGAGGAAUAUUGGUCAAUGGGCGAGAGCCUGAACCAGCCAAGUAGCGUGCAGGAAGACGGCCCUAUGGGUUGUAAACUGCUUUUAUGCGGGGAUAAAGCGGGCGACGUGUCGCCCUUUGCAGGUACCGCAUGAAUAAGGACCGGCUAAUUCCGUGCCAGCAGCCGCGGUAAUACGGAAGGUCCGGGCGUUAUCCGGAUUUAUUGGGUUUAAAGGGAGCGCAGGCCGGGUAUUAAGCGUGUUGUGAAAUGUAGGCGCCCAACGUCUGCACCGCAGCGCGAACUGGUGCCCUUGAGUACGCACGACGUUGGCGGAAUUCGCCGUGUAGCGGUGAAAUGCUUAGAUAUGGCGAAGAACUCCGAUUGCGAAGGCAGCUGACGGGAGCGCUACUGACGCUCAUGCUCGAAAGCGCGGGUAUCGAACAGGAUUAGAUACCCUGGUAGUCCGCGCGGUAAACGAUGGAUGCCCGCUAUUUGCGCAUUAGCGCAAGUGGCCAAGUGAGAACGUUAAGCAUCCCACCUGGGGAGUACGCCGGCAACGGUGCAACUCAAAGGAAUUGACGG